AUGAGGCCACCGGACAUGGGUGACCCUGGCGGCAGCUCCUCGUCCCGGCCACACGGCAAGCAGGAGCUGCAGCCGGAGGUGGUUCUCUACACGGCGUCACCUUCAGCUUCGCGCCGCAGACCACGCACCUCCGCCGACCGCUACGCCUUGUGCGCCCUGCUGCGCGGCUACGGCCUGGCCGUGGACGUGCGCGACGUGUCCAGGAGCAAAGCGCACCGCAGCGAGCUCAAGUCGUUGCUCGCGGCUCGGGGCUGCGCCUUCUCCCUCCCGCAGCUCCUCGUGGGCGGCCGGCUCGUCGGUGGCCCUGACGAUGUCAGGCAGCUGCACCAGGCCGGCGGGCUGCGGCCCCUCCUCGACGCCGCCCCAAGGCCGAGCCGCGCCUUCGUCUGCCAAGCCUGUAAGAGGGUCGGCUCCGAGCCGUGCCCAAAGUGCAGGGAAUCUCGCAACAAGAUGCUGGAUCAUGGCAUUACUGAGGAGGCGGAGGAGAGGGUCGUCCUUUUCUAUCCAACCCAAGAUGUUUCAAUAGGAGGUAGAGGCAGAGAGAUGGAUGCCAGUAGCAGUGUUUCUCUGGGUGCCAUGAGACCCCUUCUUAAGAAGCUUGACAUGAUGCUAGGUCUUAAUGGAUGCAAGCUGACCAAGGGGGUCAAUGAUAGGUCGCAGCUCCUCAAAGAUGAUCUUGAAGAAAUAGGCGCAUACCUUGAAGAUCUGUUAGAGGUGGAGGACCCUCCCCUGGCGGCCAAGUGUUGGAUGAAAGAAGCACGGGAGUUAUCUUAUGACAUCCAAGAUUGCAUUGACAACUUUGUGCCCCCUGAGUCUCUUGGCUACAAAUCUGACAACAAGAUGACUCAUGUUAAGAUUCCCAAGAGACUCAAGUGGCAGAAACAGAUUGAAUAUGCAGCUCCUGAUGUGUCAGGACAUGUUAUCUCCAAAAUCAUUCGUUUUGAUGUCAUUCGUGCUCCCAGGAAGCUCAAGUGGUACCACCAGAUGGUUGAAAAGGUAUCAGAAUUCAGGAUCUAUGCCCGGGAGGCGAUCCGACGGUACAAGAGGUACCAGCUCCAUUGUUGUAGCACCUCGGCGGCACGUAGAUUUUCAGCCAUUGGGCCUAUAAUGCCAAUGCCGCCACUACCUUGUGAGAAAACUUGUUCCGGCCUAGUAAUUGAUGGUCGGAUGAGCAAGUUUAUUAACUCUCUGGCUAACGACGCGGAUCAGCAGCUGAAGGUGGUGUCUAUUCAUGGAUUUGGAUGUCUUGGUAAAACAAUGCUUGCCAAAGUGUUGUACAAUAAAAUUGGGAGGAAAUUCCAUUGCCGUGCUUUCGUCCGGGUGUCCAAAAAGCCUGAUAUGAAGAGGCUUUUCCGCGACAUGCUAUCACAAUUCCAGCGGAAGCAGCCCCAAGCAAGCCAAGACGCUUCUGAUGAACUUCGCAUUACUGCUGAAAAUAUCAACAAUUGUCUACAUGGCAAAAGGUAUCUAGUUGUUGUUGAUGAUUUGUGGGAUACAUCAGCAUGGGAUGUUAUUAAUCAGCUUUUUCCCAAGGGUAGUCAAGGCAGCAGAAUAAUAACAACCACACAGAUUGAAGAUGUUGCACUAGCAUGUGGCUGCGAUCACCCAGAACAAGUUUUUGAGAUGAAACCUUUGGAUGAUGAUCACUCAAGGAAGCUAUUCUUUGGCAGGCUUUUUGGUUGUGAAAGUGACUGUCCUGAAGAAUUCAGACAAAUUUCAAGCCAAAUUGUAGAAAUAUGUGGUGGUUUGCCGCUAGCCACCAUCAGCAUAGCAAGUCUGCUAGCAAACCAGCCUUCUGUAUCAGUGGAUUUAUUGACGCACAUACAAGAUUCGUUAGUGUCAUGUUUGUCAUCAAAUUCAACUUCAGACAAAAUAAGCAAAGUUCUGACCGUCAGUUAUAACAGCCUACCUCAUUACCUCAAGACAUGCUUGCUUCAACUUGGUAUGUAUCCCGAGGGCUCCACAAUCUUCAAACAUGACCUGGUCAAGCAAUGGAUGGCUGAAGGGUUCAUUGUUGCAAGUGAAGGGCUAAACAUGGAGGAGGUUGCAGAAAUGUAUUUCAACGAGCUUGUUGACCGAAAAUUCAUCCAGCCUAUGUAUAUCAACUACAACAAUGAGGUGGUUUCCUGCACAGUUCACUACGUGGUACAUGAUCUUAUUGCACACAAGUCUGCAGAAGAGAAUUUUAUUGUGGUAAUAGACUACAAUCGAAAGAUUGUGGCACUUUCUCAUAAGAUCCGUCGGCUGUCUCUCCAACUUGGUGAUGCAAAAUAUGCAAAGAUACCAGCAAACAUCAGAAAGUCACAAGUACGGUCACUUGGAUUUUUCGGACUAUCAGAGUGCAUGCCUUGCAUUGGAGAGUUCAAAAUUCUCCGUGUUCUAAACCUUCAGUUUUGCGGUGUUUGUUAUGGGGAGCAUGACCUGACGAUAGACCUCACUGGAAUUUCAGAACUGUUCCAUUUGAUAUAUUUGAAGAUUGCUUCUGAUGUCUGCAUAAAACUGCCAAGCCGUAUGAGAGGUCUGCAAUGUCUGGAAACACUGGAUGUCAAGGAUACGACAAGAGGCACUCAUGUUCCAUGGGAUAUUAUAUAUCUCCCACACUUAUUGCACCUCAGUCUUCCUGCCCACUCAAAUCUGCUGGAUUGGUCCGUCAAUCCACCUGGGAGCCUUGGCUUGUUGAACCACCUGCAGGAUCUUUAUGUUUCUACACCGCAAUCUUCUGAUUCCUACAAUCUGAACCGAAUCAUGGAAGCUCUGGAUUCUUUAAUAUGUGAAGAAGGCAGCCUGAAAACUAUAAAAGUGGUGGCUCACGGAUCCUUGGUUGGGUAUGAUUACUGGUAUUUCGUCAAACGUCCCAACCAUAUCAAGAGAUUUGAGUUCUCACCGCACAAAACCGUCAUAUUUUCUCGGCUGGAUGUGUGGAUGAAACAACUUGGCAAACUAUGCAUUCUGAAGAUUGCAGUGGAUGGACUGUCAGUAAAUGAUAUUGACAUUCUUAGAGGGUUGCCUGCCCUCACUGCUCUGUCGUUGUAUAUGGAGAAGUCGCCUAAUAUUAAGAUAAUCUUUGGCACGGCUGCUGGAUUCACAGCUCUCAAGUACUUAAAGCUGAGGUUCAUGAGUGGAAUAGCUUGGCUAAAAUUUGAGGCGGGCGCAAUGCCUAAUCUCUGGAAGCUCAGGCUCGUUUUCAAUUCCAUCCCCCAAAUGGACCAACGACUUGAACUUUUUUCAAAGUUUGAUCAGUGGAAACAAUAUCGUCAUGGUACUGCAUUAAUCAGCAUCGAGCAUAUGCCACGCCUUAGAGAGGUCUCCGCAAAAUUUGGGGGUGCAGCUGCUGAUCUGAAGUAUGUGUCAAGGAUCGGGAUAGUUAGCAAUCAUCCGGGCAAUCCUAUAAUGGACGUGCAACUAGUGGAUUCUGGUUCCCAUGGUGAUAAAAGGAUAUCAGCAAGGUCACCGGAGUCCACUUCCUGCCCGAUGGAUGUUCCACUUCCAGGAGGGGGAGAGGUGUCAUGGAGCAAUAUGAUUGGUGUGAUAGGUCGUGACCUCUUCAUCUAUUGCCUCCACCGCCUCUCCAGAUGGGAAUAUGGAGCCAUCGCCUCCCUCAACCGUGAUUUCAAUUCCGUGGUUCGCAACGGGGACAUCUACCGCCUGCGUCGCAAGAAUGGGGUCGCAGAGCACUGGCUCUACCUCUCUUGCGGUAAUAAUCCUCCGGAGUGGGAGGCUUAUGACCCGUCCACUGGGCGCUCGAUCCAUGUGCCCAAGAUGCCACCGGCUGAAAGCUCCUCCAUCUGGGAGUCGCUCGCUGUAGGAACCGAGGUGCUGGUGUUUGGGGACCGCGGAAGGGCUGCCUUGAGAUAUAGCAUCCUUACCAAUUCAUGGACAUGGCUGGCUGAUGCGAUGAACACCCCGCGGUCCUGGUUUGGGUCAGCAAGUGACGGUGAAAAGGCGUAUGUCGCGGGAGGCGUUGAUUCUUCUGGUAAUGUAUUGAGCUCCGCAGAGAUGUAUGACUCGGAGACACAUACUUGGACACCCCUUCCCAGCAUGAAUAGGGCUAGGUACGGAUGCUCUGGCGCCUUCAUGGAUGGCAAGUUCUAUGUGAUGGGUGGUUUUACCAGUAGAUGGGAGCUAUUGACAUGCGGUGAGGAGUAUGACUUGGAGCGGAGGUCAUGGAGGCUCAUCGACAACAUGUCUCAGGGGCUCAGCAGAACACGUCUUCUGCUCAUUGCAGUUGUGAAGAAUGAGCUUUAUGGCGCUGAUUACAGUGAGAAUAAUGAUUUGAAGCAGUAUGAUAAGCUGGACAACAAGUGGAUCACUCUUGGAAAAUUGCCUGUACAGUCUAAGAACAACAAUUUGGGCUGGGACAUGGGUUUCCGAGCGUGUGGUGACCGGCUGAUUGUUACUGGGCCUCCAAUCAAUUCUAGUGAUGAAAAUAUGGUUGAGAUUCAUUCAUGGACCCUGGAUGGGCAACAGCCUGUGUGGAAUUUAGUUGCCACACGGCCAUACGGGGGCUCAGAUAUUGUGUGCGCCGUGAUGGGUUGCUGA
RNAcentral lists this ribosomal RNA (4539 nucleotides) under Triticum aestivum (bread wheat). RNAcentral's name for it is "partial small subunit ribosomal RNA". Lineage: Eukaryota; Viridiplantae; Streptophyta; Magnoliopsida; Poales; Poaceae. The record is from RNAcentral.